RNAcentral lists this ribosomal RNA (237 nucleotides) under uncultured bacterium. RNAcentral describes it as "partial 16S ribosomal RNA". It matches the Rfam family "Bacterial small subunit ribosomal RNA", at positions 85 to 339 of the family's 1533-position model. The record is from RNAcentral.
UUCGGGGUCAGCGGCGGACGGGUGAGUAACGCGUGGGAACGUGCCUUCUGGUUCGGAAUAACCCUGGGAAACUAGGGCUAAUACCGGAUACGCCCUUUUGGGGAAAGGUUUACUGCCGGAAGAUCGGCCCGCGUCUGAUUAGCUAGUUGGUGGGGUAACGGCCUACCAAGGCGACGAUCAGUAGCUGGUCUGAGAGGAUGAUCAGCCACACUGGGACUGAGACACGGCCCAGACUCC